Molecule: ribosomal RNA, 552 nt
Filed under: uncultured candidate division MSBL2 bacterium
Lineage: Bacteria
Description: bacterial SSU rRNA
Rfam family: Bacterial small subunit ribosomal RNA
Source: RNAcentral
CUUAAGUGAUCCGCCUGGGGAGUACGUCCGCAAGGAUGAAACUCAAAGGAAUUGACGGGGACCCGCACAAGCGGUGGAGUAUGUUCUUUAAUUCGAUGCAACGCGAAGAACUUUACCUGGGCUUGACAUCACCGAAAUCACCUUUAUACGGUGAGUGCCUCGAUUUAUCGAGGAAUCGUGUGACAGGUGCUGCAUGGCUGUCGUCAGUUCGUGUCGUGAGAUGUUGGGUUAAGUCCCGCAACGAACGCAACCCCUGUCUUUAGUUACCAGCAUUAAGUUGGGGACUCUAGAGAGACUGCCAAGGUGACAACUUGGAGGAAGGUGGGGACGACGUCAAGUCAUCAUGGUCCUUACGUCCAGGGCUAGAAACGUACUACAAUGGUUGGCACAGAGGGCAGCAACACAGCGAUGUGAAGCAAAUCCUUAAAACCAACCUCAGUUCGGAUUGGAGUCUGCAACUCGNCUCCANGAAGUUGGAAUCGCUAGUAAUCGCGGAUCAGCAAUGCCGCGGAUGAAUACGUUCCCGGGUCUUGUACACACCGCCCGUCAAUC